This 253-nucleotide ribosomal RNA is filed under the name uncultured bacterium. Its description in RNAcentral is "partial 16S ribosomal RNA". It matches the Rfam family "Bacterial small subunit ribosomal RNA", at positions 524 to 776 of the family's 1533-position model. The record is from RNAcentral.
GACAGAGGGGGCAAGCGUUGCUCGGAAUUACUGGGCGUAAAGGGCGCAUAAACGGGAUGGCAAGUCGGUCGUGAAAUCCCUCGGCUCAACCGAGGAACGUCGAUCGAUACUGCUGUUCUUGAGGAUUGCAGAGGAGACUGGAAUUCCCGGUGUAGCGGUGAAAUGUGUAGAGAUCGGGAGGAACACCGAUGGCGAAGGCGGGUCUCUGGGCAAUUCCUGACGCUGAGGCGCGAAAGCGUGGAGAGCAAACGGG